Molecule: ribosomal RNA, 253 nt
Filed under: uncultured bacterium
Lineage: Bacteria
Description: partial 16S ribosomal RNA
Rfam family: Bacterial small subunit ribosomal RNA
Source: RNAcentral
UACGUAGGUGGCAAGCGUUGUCCGGAUUUACUGGGCGUAAAGGGCGUGCAGGCGGUCUGUUAAGUUCAGGGUGAAAGCUCCCGGCUCAACUGGGAGAGGUCCUUGGAUACUGGCAGACUUGAGGGAGGUAGAGGAGAGUGGAAUUCCCGGUGUAGUGGUGAUAUGCGUAGAUAUCGAGAGGAACACCAGUGGCGAAGGCGAGUCUCUGGACAUUUCCUGACGCUGAGGCACGAAAGCCAGGGGAGCAAACGGG